This 4835-nucleotide unclassified non-coding RNA is filed under the name Penaeus monodon (black tiger shrimp). Its description in RNAcentral is "14-3-3 protein epsilon-like, transcript variant X1". The record is from RNAcentral. Lineage: Eukaryota; Metazoa; Arthropoda; Malacostraca; Decapoda; Penaeidae.
GUAUCUUGCCGAGACCGCCACUGGUAGCGAGAAGAAGAACGAACAGGGGUACCUCGCAGAAUUUGCAACGGGUAAUGACAGGAAGGCGGCUGCAGAGAAUUCCCUGGUCGCUUACAAGGCAGCCAGCGACAUUGCCAUGACAGAACUGCCCCCCACACACCCCAUCAGGCUGGGCCUUGCACUGAACUUCUCCGUGUUCUACUAUGAGAUUUUGAACAGCCCUGAGCGAGCGUGUCGCCUGGCCAAGGCGGCCUUUGAUGAUGCCAUUGCAGAAUUGGACACCUUAUCAGAGGAGAGCUACAAGGACUCCACCCUAAUCAUGCAGCUUCUGCGUGAUAACCUCACGUUAUGGACUUCUGACAUGCAGGGCGAAGCUGGUGAGGGCGAGCAGAAGGAGCUCUUGCAGGAUGUGGAGGACCAGGAUGUGAGCUAAUGUGGCGGUGGCGGCGGUGGUUCCUUCACCUCUCCACCACCACCACCACACCUCCACCACCUCCACCUCCACCUCCACCUCCACUACCACCAUUUACCCUGAAGGCAAUGGAGCUCCCACACCCUCCUCUCCAACACUGCCACAGCUGUCUGGGCCGACUGGAGUCCCUCUCACAACAACGGAGAGAAGCAGGCGUGACUUUCUCUUUUUUUAUAUAUAUAUAUAUAUAUAUGAGUAUGUACAUUUCUCUCUCGUUCACCGUUGUCUCUCUCCCUCCCUUUUACUGACUCAAAAAAGGGUCACUCCUUCCCCGGAGAUUUUUGCGGAAAUUUGCGUUUCGUAGGGAAGGGGUUGGAUGGUGUUUCGUCCGCUCGUUUUCUCUUUUCCUUCUUUCUUGCCAUCUCACUUGCCGCAGACAUUUGCUAGAACCCUCGGCUGAGUGAGAGCUGCUCUGGCAGGAAGGCCAGAGUGUCACACCCACUCAAGCAGCACAGGGUGUGUCAAGGGAGCAGUGGAUAAUGCAUUUCCUGUCUCCUUUUUUCUGGUCUUGUUCUGUGUUUACAUAGUUUGUGGUCAUUGGCCAGGGCACUUUGGUUGCAUUCCUUGCACUGAGUGACAAGGCUGGGAGCUCCACUGUCAUGUUGGGAAAGGAUUUGGCGCAUCAUUCCAGUCCUAUGUCCUAAGUUAACACAUUUUUCAUCACACUUUGUGUUUGAAAAGAUUAUUCAUUGCAUCAUUUGUUGUGUAUUUAUUAUUGAUAUUGGUACAUGAUAAGAAGUUUAAAUGAUAGGUAGGUUAAUUACUUUUCUCCUGUUUCCUUGUUUUCCACUUUUUCUGUUCUUGAAAUUUUAUUUUUAAUACUAUAUACACACACCUCCUCCUGUCCCUCUCUCCUCCUUCCCUCGUCCCCAAAGCAUGGCUUUGAGGCCCUAGACAAAAGCCAUUCAGCGUUGCCCUCUAGCAUCCGCAGUCACAAGAAGUGGAUGUUGAGGGUUCUUCCCUGGGCUCCAUACUUGUCUGUCUGGCCUGGGGUUCCUGCGCUGGGUGGAGCCUCCUGGUCACUGCAGGCUCCUUUCCCCUUCGAAGACAUUGCUUGCCUCCUCCUCCUCCUCCUCCCCUACCCCCUACCCUGUACCCCCUACCCCAGUACCCAAUGGAUCCCACUGGGUAGCAGGAGACCAGUGCAUGUCCUCAAGUUACAGGAGGUUUAAUACACAAAAAUUCUCAACUCUUUUGUAUUCUGAAAAAAAAAAAAAAAAGGAAAAAAGAUUUAUUUUUUUUUUAUUUCUUUCCCCUUACCAUACUGUGUGAAUGAGCUAAAGCGCAUCUUGGCACUUUUUUCCUGCUUGGGGAAGUAGCACAGUUGAGUUAACGUGGAAUCCUAACCAUCUUUCAUUGUUGGUCUCUCUCUUUCUCUCUCUCUAUCCCAGUUGUCUCGUUGUACUUGAAGAGUAAGCGUUUGUAUAUUGACGCUAAAUAUGUUUCACUAGGAGAAAUAAAAAAACAAAAAACAAAAAACAAAAAAAGGUUUGGCGUAAUGGAGGCGCAGAGGACCCAGCACAGGAGCCCCAAGUAGAACGCCCAAGAGAGAGCACUUCAGGGGCCCAACUUGAUUGGAAAUGUGAGGCCUGGCGGUAGGCAUUUGGACAAACUCUCGUAGAGUGUAGUAAGCCACCCCUGACCCCUUCCCUCCUGCCCCCUUCCCCCCAGGUACCAGUCUCUCCCACUGGCUGUCCCGAGCAGCUCUCCAUUUGCGCCACUUUAGUGUUUACUCUGUAGAGUUCGCGCUUCAUUACACUCGUGCGUUUCCCCAGCUGUGUGUGGUCAAGAGGUCACAAAAAUUGACCAGGCUGUUGAGCGCUGAAUUGGGCCGCUCAUUUUCCUAUAUUUCCAUAGACACAGAGAGGUAGCUUGAUUGUUGAAGAGCCACAGGGUGCGCGGGUGAGCGGGGCAGAGGGCUCCAGGCUGAAGAGGCAGCUUGGGGUCUUGCGGUGCCUCACCUGCAGCCCAGGUAUGGCCACAGACAGAGUGAGUCGAGCUGCUGUGAACACUUUUCUGUUGUGAUGACCUUGGCCGAAUGUAUUAUAUUGGACACAUUAACAGUCGACUCCCAUCAUCCACCAGUCAGUUAGUCUUUGUCUUUGUAAUAAGAGUCCAGCCACCUUGUGUACUAUCAUUUUAGCCCUCGUCCCCCUCCCCCUUCACCUUGUUGCGUUUGGGUUGCUUGGUGCUGCUUGAUGUUGUUUCUGCAAAAUGAUUUCCCUUGUUUAGUCAGACUUUUCACUCUAAUUUGGGGGCCAAAGAACAGGUAGUGAUACCUUGGUGUGUCCCGGCGAUUUCAUGGGCGGGAAAGGACACAGUGCUUCCCUUGGCAAAAAAGGGAAAAGACAGCUGCUGGUGAGGCAACUCAAUGGUUUCUAGCUGGCAGAGGAUGUGUUCUUGCAUCCCAUUGCCUUUCUGGCUUCUAAAUUUCACACCAAAAAAAAAAAAAAAAAAAAAAAAAAGUACUUGUGUAGGUGAAUGAGACAAAUGCCAGGUUUUCUGUGUGCCUCGAUCUGAUCUGGCCUGGGAGAGCCCCUCUGUGGUGCCCUGUUCCACCCACCUGAGUGUCCAGCAUACACCACGUCUCGUUCUGACCCAUCCCCAUUCCCCAUGCACCCCCCCCCCCCCAUUAGUUGGCCAUGAUUCCCUCGCAGCAGGAAGGUUCGAUUGCCAAGCAGAGACACACAUCUGAAUGAAGGUUUUCCUCUUUUUUUUUAUCAGUUUUUAAAGCUUAGGUCAAGGUGUGGAAGGAGGCGUCUGCGUGGUGUGCUUGCGAGGGACGAAGUGGCUCGACCUGAUUCGCCUCGCCCUCAUUAGGCCCUAGGGCGGAAAGUGGAGACGAGGGCGGCAGAGGCUGAGCUGCCUGUGGUGCUUCAGUCAGGCUUUUUCCACUGAACUUUAUUUGGUUAUUGGAGUUGGUCAUUCAUUCUCUGUUGUCUUUCCAUUGUAUUAUUAUUAUUAUCAUUGUUGUAAUUAUUAUUAUUGUUAUUACUAUUAUUAUUAUUAUUAUUAUUAUUAUUAUUAUUAUUAUUAUCAUCAUCAUUAUCAUUAUUGUUAUUAUUAUUAUUAUUAUUAUAACUACUAGAAAUAGUUAUUUCAGUUGGUACUAUUGUUAUAAAAAGAAUCUUACAAUAAUUUCAUUAUCGUUAUUGUGAUUAUCAUAGUACCCUUCACAGCCUCUAAGGGAACAGUCCCAGAUGCAUCCCUAUGCGAGGCGGCUCGCAGAUUGUGUCGGGACCAGAUUUGUAUCUCCCCAAACAUUCCAGAAAGCACUUUGGUAUAACCGCCAUGGAAGCAGCCAAGCAAUUGUUUUACUUUUGUUAUUAUUAUCUUAAUUAUAUGAGUUUGUUGUAUGAUUUUUUUUUAUUAUUAUUAUUUUAAAAAAUUUUGCUAUCACUGUCAACAGAUAGCACUCAUAACCCUUCUUGGUGCUAGCAGAUACCUAUGCCUCCAAUGGCUGUCAUGUGGCAAUAAAACAAAACUGGAAAAUACCUUGAAAUAUUCGCCCUCAAAGCAAAAGAAUAUAGAUAAAUAGAUCAAUAAAAUAAUGGCAACUGACACAGGUGUAGCUUGGUAAAUUACAUGCAGGUUUAAGACAUAAGUAAUUAAAUAUAAAACUAUUUAAAAAAAAGAUUCAUACACACACUACAACAAAAAAAUAAACCAAAAAAAACAUAAAAAAAAAAUAAAAAAUAAAAAAAAUUCUUCAAGAAAAUGGCUUAAUUAGAGUUUGUAAUUUUAGUGUGACCCCCACUCCCCUCCUCCCCCUUCCACACCCCUCUCUCUCUCUCUUUGAAAAAAGAAGGUAAAAACAGUUGUAAACAGUUUCAAAGAUCUAGGAAGAGUUGAGCAUUGUGCUGGCUUACUCAUUCUGUUCAGGCUCUGCCCCACACUGUCCAGCUCGGCCUCGGAGUGCCACGUGUGGCCGCUUGUGUGAGAGGUUCCCUUGAGAGGAGAGAGGACUGUGGCUGCCUCCGGGCCUGAGGAACAGGUGUGUCGGCAGGGGACAGAAGUCUGUGUAAACAAAACAACGGAUAACUGGAUGGUGUAGUAGAUGUAUCAAUAGGAAUAAACAACUUGAAUACAAAAGUAAAUAUUUAUAUGUAUAAAGAAAACACCUGGCACAAUAAUAAUAAUAAUAAUAAUAAUACCUGUCGCUGCAGUCCACGAUUGGAACGACUUGACGUGUUGUAUUUUUUACUACAAUACCAGUGAACUAAAUAGAUGCUAUACACCAGGAGUUGUGAAUCUUGCUAGAAUGUUGACCCCCUCUAUGUAAAUACCAAAUUGUGAUAGGCAAAGCACACGUGUCAAUGCACUUGCAUGUCAAAAGUGUUUGAUUAAACCUCAUAUUCUCUAA